CCAAUAGCGUAUAUUAAAGUUGUUGCAGUUAAAAAGCUCGUAGUUGAAUUUCGGGACCAAUUUGUUGGUCGUGCCUCGGUACGUACUGGUAUUAUUGGUUUCUCCCUUCUGAAGAACCUUGAUGUCAUUAAUUUGGUGUCUUGGGGAAUCAGGACUGUUACUUUGAAAAAAUUAGAGUGUUUAAAGCAGGCAUACGCUUGAAUACAUUAGCAUGGAAUAAUGAAAUAGGACGUUUGAUUCUAUUUUGUUGGUUUCUAGGAUCGACGUAAUGAUUAAUAGGGAUAGUUGGGGGCAUUAGUAUUCAAUUGUCAGAGGUGAAAUUCUUGGAUUUAUUGAAGACUAACUACUGCGAAAGCAUUUGCCAAGGAUGUUUUCAUUAAUCAAGAACGAAAGUUAGGGGAUCGAAGACGAUCAGAUACCGUCGUAGUCUUAACCAUAAACUAUGCCGACUAGGGAUCGGAUGAUGUUAAUUUUUUAAUGACUCAUUCGGCGCCUUACA
RNAcentral lists this ribosomal RNA (499 nucleotides) under uncultured Glomeromycotina. Its description in RNAcentral is "partial small subunit ribosomal RNA". It matches the Rfam family "Eukaryotic small subunit ribosomal RNA", at positions 591 to 1092 of the family's 1831-position model. Lineage: Eukaryota; Fungi; Glomeromycota. The record is from RNAcentral.